AGUGAACGCUGGCGGUAGGCCUAACACAUGCAAGUCGAACGGCAGCACAGGAGAGCUUGCUCUCUGGGUGGCGAGUGGCGGACGUGUGAGGAAUACAUCGGAAUCUACUUUUUCGUGGGGGAUAACGUAGGGAAACUUACGCUAAUACCGCAUACGACCUACGGGUGAAAGCAGGGGAUCUUCGGACCUUGCGCGAUUGAAUGAACCGAUGUCGGAUUAGCUAGUUGGCGGGGUAAAGGCCCACCAAGGCGACGAUCCGUAGCUGGUCUGCGGGGAUGAUCAGCCACACUGGAACUAAGACACGGUCCAGACUCCUACGGGAGGCAGCAGUGGGGAAUAGUGGACAAUGGGCGCAAGCCUGAUCCAGCCAUACCGCGUGGGUGAAGCAGGCCUUCGGGUUGUAAAGCCCCUUUGUUGGGAAAGAAAUCCAGCUGGUUAAUACCCGGUUGGGAUGACGGUACCCAAAGAAUAAGCACCGGCUAACUUCGUGCCAGCCGCCGCAGUAA
RNAcentral lists this ribosomal RNA (506 nucleotides) under uncultured bacterium. RNAcentral describes it as "partial 16S ribosomal RNA". It matches the Rfam family "Bacterial small subunit ribosomal RNA", at positions 29 to 523 of the family's 1533-position model. The record is from RNAcentral.